GCAGUGGGGAAUAUUGGACAAUGGGCGCAAGCCUGAUCCAGCCAUGCCGCGUGUGUGAAGAAGGCCUUAUGGUUGUAAAGCACUUUAAGCGAGGAGGAGGCUACUUUAGAUAAUACCUAGAGAUAGUGGACGUUACUCGCAAAAUAAGCACCGGCUAACUCUGUGCCAGCAGCCGCGGUAAUACAGAGGGUGCAAGCGUUAAUCGGAUUUACUGGGCGUAAAGCGCGCGUAGGCGGCUAAUUAAGUCAAAUGUGAAAUCCCCGAGCUUAACUUGGGAAUUGCAUUCGAUACUGGUUAGCUAGAGUGUGGGAGAGGAUGGUAGAAUUCCAGGUGUAGCGGUGAAAUGCGUAGAGAUCUGGAGGAAUACCGAUGGCGAAGGCAGCCAUCUGGCCUAACACUGACGCUGAGGUGCGAAAGCAUGGGGAGCAAACAGGAUUAGAUACCCUGGUAGUCCAUGCCGUAAACGAUGUCUACUAGCCGUUGGGGCCUUUGAGGCUUUAGUGGCGCAGCUAACGCGAUAAGUAGACCGCCUGGGGAGUACGGUCGCAAGACUAAAACUCA
Molecule: ribosomal RNA, 561 nt
Filed under: uncultured Acinetobacter sp.
Lineage: Bacteria; Pseudomonadati; Pseudomonadota; Gammaproteobacteria; Moraxellales; Moraxellaceae
Description: bacterial SSU rRNA
Rfam family: Bacterial small subunit ribosomal RNA
Source: RNAcentral